RNAcentral lists this ribosomal RNA (253 nucleotides) under uncultured bacterium. RNAcentral describes it as "partial 16S ribosomal RNA". It matches the Rfam family "Bacterial small subunit ribosomal RNA", at positions 524 to 776 of the family's 1533-position model. The record is from RNAcentral.
UACGAAGGGGGCUAGCGUUGCUCGGAAUCACUGGGCGUAAAGCGCACGUAGGCGGCUUUCUAAGUCAGGGGUGAAAUCCUGGAGCUCAACUCCAGAACUGCCUUUGAUACUGGAAAGCUUGAGUUCGGGAGAGGUGAGUGGAACUGCGAGUGUAGAGGUGAAAUUCGUAGAUAUUCGCAAGAACACCAGUGGCGAAGGCGGCUGACUGGUCCGGUUCUGACGCUGAGGCGCGAAAGCGUGGGGAGCAAACAGG